Molecule: ribosomal RNA, 370 nt
Filed under: uncultured organism
Description: bacterial SSU rRNA
Rfam family: Bacterial small subunit ribosomal RNA
Source: RNAcentral
CGUAGGUGGUCAAGCGUUGUCCGGAGUUUAUUGGGUUUAAAGGGUGCGUAGGCGGUUCCAUAAGUCAGUGGUGAAAUCCGGCAGCUUAACUGUCGAUGUGCCAUUGAUACUGCGGAACUUGAGUACAGACGAGGUAGGCGGAAUUGACGGUGUAGCGGUGAAAUGCUUAGAUAUCGUCAAGAACACCGAUAGCGAAGGCAGCUUACUAGACUGUAACUGACGCUGAUGCACGAAAGUGUGGGGAUCAAACAGGAUUAGAUACCCUGGUAGUCCACACUGUAAACGAUGAUUACUCGAUGUUGGCGAUACACAGCCAGCGUCUUAGCAAAAGCGAUAAGUAAUCCACCUGGGGAGUACGCCGGCAACGGUG